RNAcentral lists this microRNA (24 nucleotides) under Oryctolagus cuniculus (rabbit). RNAcentral's name for it is "ocu-miR-802-5p". Its record names the gene ocu-miR-802-5p. Lineage: Eukaryota; Metazoa; Chordata; Mammalia; Lagomorpha; Leporidae. The record is from miRBase by way of RNAcentral.
UCAGUAACAAAGAUUCAGCCUUGG